GUGGAAGUCUUCAUAUGGCGCACCACUGAGCAGUGUGUUGCCACCAGGGACUCCACAUAGAGUAAGGCUGGAUCCUGCCGACAGGGCCUGUAAAGGCGUUGGUUUCCCUGUGCGAUGGUUCCAUACAUU
Molecule: small nucleolar RNA, 129 nt
Filed under: Hippocampus comes (tiger tail seahorse)
Lineage: Eukaryota; Metazoa; Chordata; Actinopteri; Syngnathiformes; Syngnathidae
Source: RNAcentral